GAUGAACGCUGGCGGCGUGCCUAAUACAUGCAAGUCGAGCGAACGGACGAGAAGCUUGCUUCUCUGAUGUUAGCGGCGGACGGGUGAGUAACACGUGGAUAACCUACCUAUAAGAGUGGGAUCACCUCGGGAAACCGGAGCUAAUACCGGAUGAUAUUCUGCACCGCAUGGUUCAAUAGUGAAAGACGGUCUUGCUGUCACUUAUAGAUGGAUCCGCGCUGCAUUAGCUAGUUGGUAAGGUAACGGCUUACCAAGGCAACGAUGCAUAACCGACGUGCGAGGGUGAUAGGCCACACGGGAGCUGAGACACGGUCAAGACUCCUGCGGGAGGGAGCAGAAGGGUAUCGUCCGCAAUGGGGGAAAGCAUGACGGAGCAACGGGGCGUGAGUGAUGACGGUCUUCGGAGCGUAAAACUCGGUUAUGGGGGAAGAACAUAUGUGUAAGGAACUGUGCAGAGCUUGACGGUAACUAAUCAGAAAGCCACGGCUAACUACGUG
RNAcentral lists this ribosomal RNA (497 nucleotides) under uncultured bacterium. RNAcentral describes it as "partial 16S ribosomal RNA". It matches the Rfam family "Bacterial small subunit ribosomal RNA", at positions 28 to 507 of the family's 1533-position model. The record is from RNAcentral.